CGACCGAAGGCUUGGGGAUUGUUCAACAGCACGCGUGGGUAACCUGCCCUGUACACACGGAUAACAUACCGAAAGGUAUACUAAUACGGGAUAACAUACGAAAGUCGCAUGGCUUUUGUAUCAAAGCUCCGGCGGUACAGGAUGGACCCGCGUCUGAUUAGCUAGUUGGUAAGGUAAUGGCUUACCAAGGCAACGAUCAGUAGCCGACCUGAGAGGGUGAUCGGCCACACUGGAACUGAGACACGGUCCAGACUCCUACGGGAGGCAGCAGUGGGGAAUAUUGCACAAUGGGCGAAAGCCUGAUGCAGCAACGCCGCGUGAGCGAUGAAGGCCUUCGGGUCGUAAAGCUCUGUCCUCAAGGAAGAUAAUGACGGUACUUGAGGAGGAAGCCCCGGCUAACUACGUGCCAGCAGCCGCGGUAAUACGUAGGGGGCUAGCGUUAUCCGGAAUUACUGGGCGUAAAGGGUGCGUAGGUGGUUUUUUAAGUCAGAAGUGAAAGGCUACGGCUCAACCGUAGUAAGCUUUUGAAACUAGAGAACUUGAGUGCAGGAGAGGAGAGUAGAAUUCCUAGUGUAGCGGUGAAAUGCGUAGAUAUUAGGAGGAAUACCAGUAGCGAAGGCGGCUCUCUGGACUGUAACUGACACUGAGGCACGAAAGCGUGGGGAGCAAUACAGGAUUAGAUACCCUGGUAUUCCCACGCCGUAAACGUAUUGAUUACUUAGGUGUCGGGGGUUACCCCCCUCCGGUGCCGC
RNAcentral lists this ribosomal RNA (752 nucleotides) under Clostridium sp. MU02-17. RNAcentral describes it as "bacterial SSU rRNA". It matches the Rfam family "Bacterial small subunit ribosomal RNA", at positions 78 to 849 of the family's 1533-position model. The record is from RNAcentral. Lineage: Bacteria; Bacillati; Bacillota; Clostridia; Eubacteriales; Clostridiaceae.